UUUCCCCUAAAAAUUUUGAUUUCCCUCAUUGUUUUCCAGUUUUCCCCCAAAAUCUGAUAUCCACCGCUAGGUCUUGUUACCCAAAAAUUCUCCUUGUUUUCCCCCAAAAUCUGAUAUCCAACCGCUAGGUCUUAUUACCCAAAAAUUCUCUACACAAGCACACAACUAAGGUCGCACAACUUUUCAUCCCAAAGAAAACGAAGAAGAAUGAAGUUCAGUGUAAUCAUUCCGUGCUCAUCUUGACGAAACAUUCUGUACUUUGGCGGGUUCUCCAAUCCUCACCUCAAAAUCGAAUCAUCAUUUGUCUGGCUUUGGGGGAGAUCUAAUCGAUAAAAGGGCCUUGGAUUCAGAUUACAUGGUCAAAUGAAAUUAUGCAGGACAAUUGAUAGACCGAACAAAUUUUGGCAAGGCUGGAGAUGUUGUUUGAACAUUGCAAUACAGCUUGGGGGAAAUGAUUCAAAUUACACGGGAUAUUCAUGCUGACCCCAAAGAAGCCACUUGACUUUUGCAACAAUAAGGCUGGUGAACAAAUGGGUAUACAAGUUCCAAUUGAGAAGUUUUUUUCUUUUUCAUUUUCUCUUAAGCUUUUUUACUUUGAUUUAUUUUUAGCUUUUUAAAUCUUUUCUUUGCUAGGUUAGUUUAAUUAUUCGCAAAGGUGAAGACACUAUUAAAAAACUCCAGACACAAUUUUGAGCACACAUUCUGGUAGUUUUUGAGAUGACUAGCCUAACAUACAAACUAUGCCAAGGACAAAUGAAAAUGACAAUGAAAUUAGUAUUUUUUUUAUCAAAUGCAGACUUGGUAAAGUCAUGUUAUGUAUUUUGAUGUUUACACAUAGUGUAGUUGAAUCACAUUUUUUGUCUUUUACUAUGAAUUCCAACUAAUGUUUCAGAUCUUCAGUUCUUGUAAAUGUCUAUCUUUUGGUGCUUUUUGAAGUAGUCUAUCUUCGAUUCUAUUUGAAACAUAAUGUUUCUCUAUAGUUAACUCUCUUACAACUGAACAACUAGAUUACAAAGCAUCAACCCGGGUCUCCUUUAUAAAUAUGGGUUAAACAGGUCGUUUUGGGUUGACCCGAGUUUAUUGUGUAUCCGGGCUAGGGUUGAAAUCUUUGAUAUGAAUAUAAAUAUGGGCCGUGUUUGGGUUUUAUUUGCUAACCUGCUUACGCGACACUAUUAACAGCCAUAUGCAAAAGGAGAUGUGGAUUUUUUUUAUGGUGCCCAGUUUUUUUAAUCAGUUGCUUUAAAAGUGCAGAUUUCACAUUGGGUCAGCGUGGUUUGCUUGGUGUAGAAAAGGUAUCACACAUUAAUCCUUGGUUUUGAUGGAAGUUAAUGGUUGGUGAGAUUUCUCUAUGACCCCAAAGAUUAUCCAUAAUACUAGUGUUAGUAAAAGACCAUCCCCCAUCAUUUAGUUUUGUUCCUGAUGUGAGAUAUAUAUAUUUGGAAGAAAGUAGGGGGUGCAAACAAGCUGAAUCGAGCCUGAGGUCUACUAGGCUUGAGCUCGAGCUUGAUUAACUUAUGAGAGCUCGAGCUCGACUCGGUUGGAGCUUUGUUUUCAAAUUUUGAGCUUGGCACGUUGGUAGUAUCUCAAGUCCGAGCUCGGCUUGUUUAUUAUCUAUUUAUUAAUUAUAUUAAAUAAAAAUAUUAUAACUAAUACACUCGUUUAGGCUCUCGAGCUCGAUAAGUGAGCUCGGGCUGGGACUCGUUUACUAAACAAGCCUAUUUUCAGGUUCACGCUUGACUCGUAAACAUGUUUAAAUAAGCUCGGCUUGGCUCGUUUAAUAGACAACUUUAAAUAAGGGGCAAGUGUUAUUAAAAGUUAAAUUAGAACUAAUAUUACACUAAGGCUAAACGAUCCUAACAAGCUUCACAUGUCCGGCUCGAGCUCGGGCUCCAUAAAUAAACAAGCUUUAUUUUAGGCUCAAGCUUGGCUUGGGCUUGACUCGUUUCGAGAUUUUUUUUGAGCCAUCCUCGAGCAGCUCUCAAGUUGCUCAGCUUAUUUGCAUCCCUAAAAAGGUAUCAUACAUUGGUAAUAGAUUAUUUUCACACAAGUUUCUAAUGUUUGGACUUGUUGUUGAUCUUGUGUGCACCUUUAAGUCUGGUGUGUGUGGGUGUGUACAUAUACAUCGUGUCCUUUUCUUGACAUCUCAAUCAUGGUGGAUUGCACUCAUGAAAUCAUAUGGGCUGAACUCUUCUCUUAAUUAAUUUUCUAUUUCUGAAGCAUACUAUUUCUAUACUAGCAUGCUAUUUCUAUACAAGCUGUCAAGCAUCAUGUUUUAGUUAACUUUUUUUAUUAUCAGCUCCUAACCUAAAAGAGCUGAUGCAGUGUUGUGUUGUGUUGACCACGAAGAUGAAAUUACUAAUUUGGACUUUGGCACCACAACCUGGAAUUGCAUUCGGAGUUUUGCAUGUACAGUUUUCACACUCUCAAGGGUCUUUGUUAUUAUUCAGCUAUUCCAGAUGUCAUGUAUUUAUAGGGUGCUUUCACAUCAUACAUGAUCCUGGAGGGGGCUGAUGGAAUCAUUCAAAUCAAAUGUUGAAGUUGAGAAAACCUGUUGUUGGAAAUGCGCAAAAAUAUUAAAGAGGGUCAUCAAAGAUAAAAAGCGGAGCUCGAAUCCAUGCGCAAAGAGAUUGACUGUCAGUGACAACAUGAAAGUUAUAAUACGGAAGGUUAUGAGACAACUACUAGUUAGAGAUCGUGACGAGUAGAAUAAUUUCAUUUUUCUAAAUUAUUGUAAUUGACACUUCAUGCUACUAUAUUGUAAUUUGAGUUUAGACAAGCAUGUUAAAGUAGAUCAUUUGACUAUCAAUGAUACUUUUGUUAUUA
This is a long non-coding RNA of Helianthus annuus (common sunflower), 2823 nucleotides long. RefSeq lists it as uncharacterized. NCBI's taxonomy places the organism in Eukaryota, Viridiplantae, Streptophyta, Magnoliopsida, Asterales, Asteraceae. The transcript has 3 exons. The record is from RefSeq and is a predicted model, not a curated record.